GUAAAGAAGAGAGAGAGAGAGAAAGAAGAAAGGAAAAGGAAGAGGAAGAAGAAAGAAGAAGAGAAUCGAUCAUAGAGCUUCACCAGAGCUGGGUCUUAGCAUUUUGAGGUCAGAAUGAUGAUUAGCUCGUCGGGAUCUUCGAUUUGAGAUAGGAUUUAGAAGGAGUGUUGGUGAAGAUCUAGAGUUUUUGAGAGUUCUUGAGCUAAAGAAGUGAAAUUGGGAUUUCAUUGGUGUCCUUGAAAAAAGAGGUUAUACUCGUUAUACGCAUAUCCACACAUCGGAUCUCCUACAUACCGGGUGUAAGCACCGCGUACUUAUACAAGUGAUUUAGCAGGUUACCCGCUUGAAGAUCAGGAGCUGGGUCCCAUUGUGGAGUUUCACUUCGAGGACUAGUGGGUCCCUGAUGAGUUCGAGCACGGUGCUGAUUGCACGUUAGCAGGCCAAGGUUGUUCCUAAACUGAGGCCUCAGACAUUAGACUUUUUGUUUGCAAACAUGAAGGAACAGAGGAUGAAGACAUCAUCUCAUCAGAUGAGAAGGGGUCGAUUUUAGCAACACCAGCGGAAAAGGGAUCAAUUUAACAGUUAUUCCAACUAACUAGACCUAUGUUGAUCAUUGUGCAAGGAGAUGUGAGAUCAUAUGGGUGUUAAAAACUGUACCCCACCCAACCAUGUGGUGCAAAGUAGUGGAUUUAUCUCUAGCACCCAAGUUUGUGAUUAUCAGCAGGAAACAGUCCAUUCUUUGUUUUGCUUCCUUCAGUACUUUCUCUUCAUUAACCUGACUAUCUCCAAUAUAAAAACUUGUAGAUAUCUUCUUUCAAUUUUUUGAUUUGAGAUUUGGAUUAGUUUGUUUCUGGAAACAUUAGUUUGUUGUUUGAGCAGUGUAAAGUUAUGAUCUAGGUUGCUGACCUAGAUUGUGAUGGGUCCAAGGAGGCUAAACCCAAGUCCUCCAAAACUGUUUCAAGUGUAUUAUGUUCAAUUUGGAACAGGGAAGGGUUGCUAAGUUUCUUCAAAGGAUUACAUGCUCAAAUUCUGAAAACUGUGCUAAGCUCAACUUUGCUUCUCAUGAUUAAGGAGAAAAUCACGAGGACCAUAUAGGUCUUGAUGCUUGGACGCAAGAGGUAUCUGUUGUUCGUGCCACCUAAAUUAAAGAAUGCAUAACGACAACGAAGAUAAUGUACGCAUGGAUCUUUGUAAAUAAAUGUGGCAUGAAUUGGUUUCUAUCCAACCUUGAGAAUUUUGUCCCAGCAAUGGUUACUAUAUUUGGUGUAAAAGAAAUAUUUUUAUGAAAUUUGAAGCAUUUUAAAA
Molecule: long non-coding RNA, 1305 nt
Organism: Macadamia integrifolia
Lineage: Eukaryota; Viridiplantae; Streptophyta; Magnoliopsida; Proteales; Proteaceae
Exons: 5
Source: RefSeq, a predicted model, not a curated record